This 99-nucleotide small RNA is filed under the name Escherichia coli. RNAcentral's name for it is "partial RtT sRNA". It matches the Rfam family "RtT RNA", at positions 34 to 130 of the family's 130-position model. Rfam says of the family: This family represents a bacterial cis-regulatory element known as RtT RNA. The exact function of RtT is unknown although it is thought that it may be involved in changing the cellular response in relation to amino acid starvation. The record is from RNAcentral. Lineage: Bacteria; Pseudomonadati; Pseudomonadota; Gammaproteobacteria; Enterobacterales; Enterobacteriaceae.
AACCAAGGUUCGACUUGAGCGCCAGCGAGAGAGCGUUGCCGCAGGCAACGACCCGAAGGGCGAAGCGCGCAGCGCUGAGUAAUCCUUCUCCCACCACCA